GCCUGGGUGGCUCAGUCGGUUAAGCGUCUGACUUCGGCUCAGGUCAUGAUCUCGCGGUUUGUGAGUUCGAGCCCCACGUCGGGCU
Molecule: transfer RNA, 85 nt
Filed under: Felis catus (domestic cat)
Lineage: Eukaryota; Metazoa; Chordata; Mammalia; Carnivora; Felidae
Rfam family: tRNA
About the family: Transfer RNA (tRNA) molecules are approximately 80 nucleotides in length. Their secondary structure includes four short double-helical elements and three loops (D, anti-codon, and T loops).
Source: Rfam by way of RNAcentral